CCUUGCUACGGGACGCUGGCUUGGUCAAGAUUUAUCUAGGCGCGUUCUCACUCGCGAAAAAAAAAUGGUUGUUUGAUUGUAGUGCCCCCUGGUGGCCAAAGGCAGUGCAAAGGCUGUCGCUGAAAAGAAAGCGAAUACAGAACCCAUCAAGCUCCUAAUUGCCUAGGUUUAUAGGUCUUUUCCCAGGUUGUACGCCUGAGGGUAAUACUAGUGGCUCUCUCUCUGUGGGCUGUAUACCAUGUUGGUGAGCUCAGUUUUAUAAAGGGAAAGUUUGCUUUGUAAAACGGCUGUCCCAAAGAGUUACGGGGUCCUGGAACACCCACCAAAGAUAGAGGAAAAGUGAGAUUGAAAUCCAGGUCCAUUGAUCCCAAAGUCCAUCUUUGGCUACAAAUCAACAAAUCACACCUGGCCUCUCCUGAAGGGAAAACAUAUUGAGGAACAAAUUAAACAACACUGUGGAAGGGGCAACAAGCACACUCCAGACAGGAAAACUGCAGCACAACCAACCUGGUUUAUUCAGCAGAAAAAUGCCAGGAAAACAAAACAAACCAAAAAUAGGGUGGCGAAACAUGUAAAAAAAUACUUGCAGUAUGUAAACAUAAUACAAGCUAUGGCUCUUUAAUUAAAAAAAAAUUAAUUGUAAAAGCAUAAACAAAUUGAUAAAUUGUAAAAAAUUAAUUGUAAAAUUAAUUGUAAAGUUAAAAAAUUACUUGUAAAAUUAAUUGUAAAUUUAAUUUUAAAAAAUUAACUGGAAGUUUGAAAACUG
Molecule: long non-coding RNA, 766 nt
Filed under: Heterocephalus glaber (naked mole-rat)
Lineage: Eukaryota; Metazoa; Chordata; Mammalia; Rodentia; Bathyergidae
Description: lncRNA (ENSHGLG00100042354.1)
Source: RNAcentral